AUACGGAGGAUGCGAGCGUUAUCAGGAUUUAUUGGGUUUAAAGGGUGCGUAGGCGGUCUGUUAAGCGUGAGGUGAAAGCUCGGGGCUCAACCCCGGAACUGCCUCGCGAACUGGCGGCCUUGAAUGUCCGAGCCGUGGGGGGAAUGUGUGGGGUAGCGGUAGAAAGCAUAGAGAUCCAACAGAACACCGAUUGCGAAGGCAUCUCACCAACGGAGGAUAGACGCUGAGGCACGAAAGCGUGGGGAUCAAACAGAAUUAGCUUCCCUGAUAGUCCACGCAGUAAACGAUGAUAACUAACCGCUGGUAAGUAAUUAUCAGUGGCCAAGCGAAAGCGAUAAGUUAUCCACCUGGGGAGUACGACCGCAAGGUUGAAACUCAAAGGAAUUGACGGGG
This 393-nucleotide ribosomal RNA is filed under the name uncultured bacterium. Its description in RNAcentral is "partial 16S ribosomal RNA". It matches the Rfam family "Bacterial small subunit ribosomal RNA", at positions 523 to 918 of the family's 1533-position model. The record is from RNAcentral.